UGGGUCGGUGAGACGGUCGCGUCGCGCAUCGCUUGCGAUGUCGCGCCGAGGAACGUCCGGGCUCCGCAGGGGAGAACGGUGGCUAACGGCCACCCGGGGCAACCCGCGAGAAAGUGCAACAGAGAGUAGACCGCCAGUCGGGAGUAUUUCCGGUCGGUAAGGCUGAAAGGGUGGUGUAAGAGACCACCGGCGUCCGUGGCGACACGGGCGGCCAGGUAAACCUCGUUCGGAGCAAGGCCAGACAGAGGAUGAUGACGCGCCCCGCCGAGUCCUCGGGUAGGCCGCUAGAGGGUGUCGGCAACGGCAUCCCGAGAGAGAUGACCGUCGCCCGGGAAACCGGGAGACAGAACCCGGCGUAUGAUCCGGCCCAUUCC
RNAcentral lists this RNase P RNA (374 nucleotides) under Leucobacter edaphi. Its description in RNAcentral is "Bacterial RNase P class A". It matches the Rfam family "Bacterial RNase P class A". From Rfam's summary of the family: Ribonuclease P (RNase P) is a ubiquitous endoribonuclease, found in archaea, bacteria and eukarya as well as chloroplasts and mitochondria. Its best characterised activity is the generation of mature 5'-ends of tRNAs by cleaving the 5'-leader elements of precursor-tRNAs. Lineage: Bacteria; Bacillati; Actinomycetota; Actinomycetes; Micrococcales; Microbacteriaceae. The record is from Rfam by way of RNAcentral.